This 450-nucleotide ribosomal RNA is filed under the name uncultured bacterium. RNAcentral's name for it is "partial 16S ribosomal RNA". It matches the Rfam family "Bacterial small subunit ribosomal RNA", at positions 338 to 795 of the family's 1533-position model. The record is from RNAcentral.
CCUACGGGGGGCUGCAGUAGGGAAUAUUGCGCAAUGGAGGAAACUCUGACGCAGCGACGCCGCGUGGGCGAUGAAGGCUUUCGGGUCGUAAAGCCCUGUCGGAAGAGAAGAAAAAUCCUGUGGCUAAUAUCCACAGGACUUGACGGUACCUUCAGAGGAAGCACCGGCUAACUACGUGCCAGCAGCCGCGGUAAUACGUAGGGUGCAAGCGGUGUUAGAGAGCAUGGGGCUGGUCGCGCGUGUAGGGGGUGAAAGCCCCGGGCUCAACCUGGGAAGUGCAUCCGAAACUAGUUGACUAGAAGACAGUAGAGGAAGGUGGAAUUCCAAGUGUAGAGGUGAAAUUCGUAGAUAUUUGGAGGAAUACCGGCGGCGAAGGCGGCCUUCUGGGCUGUUCUUGACACUGAGACGCGAAAGCGUGGGUAGCAAACAGGAUUAGAUACCCUAGUAGUC